This is a non-coding RNA of Schistosoma rodhaini, 46 nucleotides long. The record is from Rfam. NCBI's taxonomy places the organism in Eukaryota, Metazoa, Platyhelminthes, Trematoda, Strigeidida, Schistosomatidae.
GCACCCCUGAAGAGUCCCAUAAUAGGACGAAACGGCCGUCCAGUGC